RNAcentral lists this ribosomal RNA (472 nucleotides) under uncultured bacterium. RNAcentral describes it as "bacterial SSU rRNA". It matches the Rfam family "Bacterial small subunit ribosomal RNA", at positions 335 to 798 of the family's 1533-position model. The record is from RNAcentral.
ACUCCUACGGGAGGCAGCAGUGGGGAAUAUUGCACAAUGGGCGCAAGCCUGAUGCAGCCAUGCCGCGUGUAUGAAGAAGGCCUUCGGGUUGUAAAGUACUUUCAGCAGUGAGGAAGGUGGGUAUGUUAAUAGCAUACUCAUUUGACGUUAGCUGCAGAAGAAGCACCGGCUAACUCCGUGCCAGCAGCCGCGGUAAUACGGAGGGUGCGAGCGUUAAUCGGAAUUACUGGGCGUAAAGCGCAUGCAGGUGGUUUGUUAAGUCAGAUGUGAAAGCCCGGGGCUCAACCUCGGAAUUGCAUUUGAAACUGGCAAACUAGAGUACUGUAGAGGGGGGUAGAAUUUCAGGUGUAGCGGUGAAAUGCGUAGAGAUCUGAAGGAAUACCGGUGGCGAAGGCGGCCCCCUGGACAGAUACUGACACUCAGAUGCGAAAGCGUGGGGAGCAAACAGGAUUAGAUACCCUGGUAGGUCUGC